UCAACAAUAUCCUGGUGCUGA
RNAcentral lists this microRNA (21 nucleotides) under Ophiophagus hannah (king cobra). Its description in RNAcentral is "oha-miR-338-5p". Its record names the gene oha-miR-338-5p. The record is from miRBase by way of RNAcentral. Lineage: Eukaryota; Metazoa; Chordata; Lepidosauria; Squamata; Elapidae.